Long non-coding RNA from Atta colombica, 303 nucleotides. RefSeq lists it as uncharacterized. The record is from RefSeq and is a predicted model, not a curated record. NCBI's taxonomy places the organism in Eukaryota, Metazoa, Arthropoda, Insecta, Hymenoptera, Formicidae. The transcript has 3 exons.
UUCGGCUUUUGCGUUUCUCGCUGUGUGUCUCGCUCUCAUUAGUAGCCAGUAGUAUCAGUACUGGCUGUAGUGGAAGAGAUAUAACAUGUGGGGCCUCUGAACGCUUACCAAUGCAAAUCGUCGUACUGUACAUCAGAAUUAUCAAGAGAAGCCAAAAUAGCUCGGUGAUUGGAGAGAUGAUAUAAAACGAAUUAUAUGCAGAGGAGAAAGGAUUAUUAUCUAGCCCUGAUGAUUUGCAGAGUCAAUAUUACUUCCGUUAUAAAGAGAUGUUUUUGCAGAAAACCCCCUAAUUCGAUUGCAAUU